GAUGAAGAACGUAGCGAAACGCGAUAGUUAAUGUGAAUUGCAGAAUUCAGUGAAUCAUCGAGUCUUUGAACGCACAUUGCGCCCCUCGGUAUUCCGGAGGGCAUGUCUGUUUGAGCGUCAUUUCAACACCCUCGCUUUAAGCGGUAUUGAGGCGUGGAAUCCAUAUCAAUGGAACCAAGCUUUUAAAGUUGAAGGCAAGCAGAACGAAUGUCUUGAACAAAACAUAGUAAAAUCUUCACGGUUUCUCCCGUUUGUCCUCGAUGUUACGUCUCGCCCAAACAAUUUUUUUUUAGUUUUGACCUCAGAUCAGACAAGGAUACCCGCUGAACUUAAGCAUAUCAAUAAGCGGAGGA
RNAcentral lists this unclassified non-coding RNA (353 nucleotides) under soil metagenome. RNAcentral's name for it is "partial contains 5.8S ribosomal RNA, internal transcribed spacer 2, and large subunit ribosomal RNA". The stretch from base 1 to 120 matches the Rfam family "5.8S ribosomal RNA", at positions 35 to 154 of the family's 154-position model. The record is from RNAcentral.